This 388-nucleotide ribosomal RNA is filed under the name uncultured bacterium. RNAcentral's name for it is "bacterial SSU rRNA". It matches the Rfam family "Bacterial small subunit ribosomal RNA", at positions 29 to 420 of the family's 1533-position model. The record is from RNAcentral.
AUUGAACGCUGGCGGAAUGCUUUACACAUGCAAGUCGAGCGGCAGCGCGGGGCAACCUGGCGGCGAGCGGCGAACGGGUGAGUAAUGCAUCGGAACGUACCCCGUCGUGGGGAAUAACUACCCGAAAGGGUAGCUAAUACCGCAUACGACCUGAGGGUGAAAGCGGGGGACCGAAAGGCCUCGCGCGAUGGGAGCGGCCGAUGCCGGAUUAGCUAGUUGGUAGGGUAAAGGCCUACCAAGGCGACGAUCCGUAGCUGGUCUGAGAGGACGACCAGCCACACUGGAACUGAGACACGGUCCAGACUCCUACGGGAGGCAGCAGUGGGGAAUUUUGGACAAUGGGCGAAAGCCUGAUCCGGCCAUUCCGCGUGAGUGAAGAAGGCCUCGG